This 429-nucleotide ribosomal RNA is filed under the name Actinomycetes bacterium. RNAcentral describes it as "Actinobacteria bacterium partial 16S ribosomal RNA". It matches the Rfam family "Bacterial small subunit ribosomal RNA", at positions 355 to 776 of the family's 1533-position model. Lineage: Bacteria; Bacillati; Actinomycetota; Actinomycetes. The record is from RNAcentral.
UAGGGAAUCUUCCGCAAUGGGCGAAAGCCUGACGGAGCAACGCCGCGUGAGUGAUGAAGGUCUUCGGAUCGUAAAACGCUGUUAUUAGGGAAGAACAAAUGUGUAAGUAACUAUGCACGUCUUGACGGUACCUAAUCAGAAAGCCACGGCUAACUACGUGCCAGCAGCCGCGGUAAUACGUAGGUGGCAAGCGUUAUCCGGAAUUAUUGGGCGUAAAGCGCGCGUAGGCGGUUUUUUAAGUCUGAUGUGAAAGCCCACGGCUCAACCGUGGAGGGUCAUUGGAAACUGGAAAACUUGAGUGCAGAAGAGGAAAGUGGAAUUCCAUGUGUAGCGGUGAAAUGCGCAGAGCUAUGGAGGAACACCAGUGGCGAAGGCGACUUUCUGGUCUGUAACUGACGCUGAUGUGCGAAAGCGUGGGGAUCAAACAGG